Molecule: transfer RNA, 69 nt
Filed under: Anadara cornea
Lineage: Eukaryota; Metazoa; Mollusca; Bivalvia; Arcoida; Arcidae
Description: tRNA-Val
Source: RNAcentral
UUCGGAGGUAGUAUAUAAAGUACUUCUGUCUUACACACAGGUGGUGUCGGAUGAAAUCGGCUCUCUGAU